AGUAGGGAAUAUUGCGCAAUGGAGGAAACUCUGACGCAGCGACGCCGCGUGAGCGAUGAAGGCCUUCGGGUCGUAAAGCUCUGUUGCAGGGGAAUAAGAAAGUGAAUGUACCCUGUGAGGAAGGAUCGGCUAACUUCGUGCCAGCAGCCGCGGUAAGACGAGGGAUCCUAGCGUUGUUCGGAAUCAUUGGGCGUAAAGGGGGUGCAGGUGGUCUAAUAAGUCAAGUGUGAAAGCCCAGGGCUCAACCCUGGAAGUGCAUUUGAUACUGUUAGGCUUGAGUGUGGGAGAGGAUAGCAGAAUUCCUGGUGUAGUGGUGAAAUACGUAGAUAUCAGGAGGAAUACCGGAGGCGAAGGCGGCUAUCUGGCCCAACACUGACACUCAAACCCGAAAGCGUGGGGAUCAAA
Molecule: ribosomal RNA, 405 nt
Filed under: uncultured Bdellovibrio sp.
Lineage: Bacteria; Pseudomonadati; Bdellovibrionota; Bdellovibrionia; Bdellovibrionales; Pseudobdellovibrionaceae
Description: bacterial SSU rRNA
Rfam family: Bacterial small subunit ribosomal RNA
Source: RNAcentral